RNAcentral lists this ribosomal RNA (592 nucleotides) under uncultured bacterium. RNAcentral describes it as "bacterial SSU rRNA". It matches the Rfam family "Bacterial small subunit ribosomal RNA", at positions 334 to 917 of the family's 1533-position model. The record is from RNAcentral.
UACUCCUACGGGAGGCAGCAGUAGGGAAUCUUCCACAAUGGACGCAAGUCUGAUGGAGCAACGCCGCGUGAGUGAAGAAGGCUUUCGGGUCGUAAAACUCUGUUGUUGGAGAAGAAUGGUCGGCAGAGUAACUGUUGUCGGCGUGACGGUAUCCAACCAGAAAGCCGCGGCUAACUACGUGCCAGCAGCCGCGGUAAUACGUAGGUGGCAAGCGUUAUCCGGAUUUAUUGGGCGUAAAGCGAGCGCAGGCGGUUUUUUAAGUCUGAUGUGAAAGCCCUCGGCUUAACCGAGGAAGUGCAUCGGAAACUGGGAAACUUGAGUGCAGAAGAGGACAGUGGAACUCCAUGUGUAGCGGUGAAAUGCGUAGAUAUAUGGAAGAACACCAGUGGCGAAGGCGGCUGUCUGGUCUGUAACUGACGCUGAGGCUCGAAAGCAUGGGUAGCGAACAGGAUUAGAUACCCUGGUAGUCCAUGCCGUAAACGAUGAAUGCUAGGUGUUGGAGGGUUUCCGCCCUUCAGUGCCGCAGCUAACGCAUUAAGCAUUCCGCCUGGGGAGUACGACCGCAAGGUUGAAACUCAAAUGAAUUGACGGA